This is a long non-coding RNA of Panicum virgatum (switchgrass), 807 nucleotides long. RefSeq lists it as uncharacterized. NCBI's taxonomy places the organism in Eukaryota, Viridiplantae, Streptophyta, Magnoliopsida, Poales, Poaceae. The record is from RefSeq and is a predicted model, not a curated record. The transcript is spliced from 3 exons.
AGAUCAUCGAUUGCAGUGCCGAGUUAAAUGAAAAAUGCAGAAAGCUUACAGAAAGGAUCAAGGUCGAAAUUGAUAGGGGAUAUGUGAACUGAGUGCUGGAUGGCUCGUUGGAUGAGCAUUUCAUUGGAUGAGCAUUUCUGCCUGCGCAACAAGCUAUCCGGGCUGCCUUUUUUCCCCACUUUCUAGGCGCGGCGCCCUCUCCGCCUCGUGCAUUCCUGUGAACUGACUGCUGGAUGGCUUGUUGGACACACAUUUCUUCCUGUAAAAGCAACUACUACCGUCAGCCUUCUUCCACUUUUCAGAAAAAUGGCCUCAAGCAGACACUACAAGUCUUCAGUGUCAUUGCACAAGUUGCAUCGGAGGGUCAAAUGGAGAAACAGUUAUUAUAGAGUAUGCGCUCUUCUUCAGUUUUCUUCCCUUGCUAUGGCCUAUCGUAUUGGCAUAUGGAAAAAUGGACUUACGCAGGCACGCACGCAGCUGGUAAAUUGGAAGCUCCACUCCCGGUAUGUGAUGAACAGACCAACGCGGUGCGAGCUUUGAGUUCAACUGAUCCACAUCUCGUCGACGUCGUGCCAGGAAGCUUGCAGAUAACUUGAGUGCUCAUUUGUGCAAGAAUUCAACAAUGUAUUGGUGGCUUGGUGGUGCUAGCUAUUGCAGAGUUUUUCUUUUUUACACCCUUUCCUUGUUAUUAGAUAUUGCUAUAAUUGUGCUCUAAUUGUGCUUUCCAUGUAUAGGAUUAUUCUUUUCCAUGUAUACACAAGCUCAUUGGCUAUAUAAUAUCAAUGUCACCCCACUUCAUUUGGUGUA